RNAcentral lists this ribosomal RNA (446 nucleotides) under uncultured bacterium. RNAcentral's name for it is "bacterial SSU rRNA". It matches the Rfam family "Bacterial small subunit ribosomal RNA", at positions 329 to 792 of the family's 1533-position model. The record is from RNAcentral.
UGCCAGACUCCUACGGGAGGCAGCAGUGGGGAAUAUUGCACAAUGGGGGAAACCCUGAUGCAGCGACGCCGCGUGAGCGAUGAAGUAUUUCGGUAUGUAAAGCUCUAUCAGCAGGGAAGAAAAUGACGGUACCUGACUAAGAAGCCCCGGCUAACUACGUGCCAGCAGCCGCGGUAAUACGCAGGGGGCAAGCGUUAUCCGGAUUUACUGGGUGUAAAGGGAACGUAGACGGCGAUGCAAGCCAGAUGUGAAAGCCCGGGGCUCAACCCCGGGACUGCAUUUGGAACUGUGUGGCUGGAGUGUCGGAGAGGCAGGCGGAAUUCCUAGUGUAGCGGUGAAAUGCGUAGAUAUUAGGAGGAACACCAGUGGUGAAGGCGGCCUGCUGGACGAUGACUGACGUUGAGGCUCGAAAGCGUGGGGAGCAAACAGGAUUAGAUACCCGAGUA